This 460-nucleotide ribosomal RNA is filed under the name uncultured bacterium. RNAcentral describes it as "partial 16S ribosomal RNA". It matches the Rfam family "Bacterial small subunit ribosomal RNA", at positions 338 to 795 of the family's 1533-position model. The record is from RNAcentral.
CCUACGGGAGGCUGCAGUGAGGAAUAUUGGUCAAUGGACGAGAGUCUGAACCAGCCAAGUAGCGUGAAGGAUGACUGCCCUAUGGGUUGUAAACUUCUUUUAUAAAGGAAUAAAACGAGGCACGUGUGCCUUUUUGCAUGUACUUCAUGAAUAAGGAUCGGCUAAUUCCGUGCCAGCAGCCGCGGUAAUACGGAGGAUCCGAGCGUUAUCCGGAUUUAUUGGGUUUAAAGGGAGCGUAGAGGGGUGGUUAAGUCAGUUGUGAAAGUUUGCGGCUCAACCGUAGAACUGCAGUUGAUACUGGCAGUCUUGAGUGCAGUUGAGGUAGGCGGAAUUCGUGGUGUAGCGGUGAAAUGCUUAGAUAUCACGAAGAACCCCGAUUGCGAAGGCAGCUUACUGAAGUGUGACUGACAUUGAUGCUCGAAAGUGUGGGUAUCGAACAGGAUUAGAUACCCUAGUAGUC